UACGGUCACAUCUCGUUGAAACACCAGUUCCCAUACUAUCACCGAAGUUAAGCAAUGUCAAGUCUGGUGAGUACCUAGAUGGGUGACCCCUUGGGAAUACCAGGUACUGUAAG
Molecule: non-coding RNA, 113 nt
Organism: Acanthosepion pharaonis
Lineage: Eukaryota; Metazoa; Mollusca; Cephalopoda; Sepiida; Sepiidae
Source: the annotation of a GenBank genome assembly